RNAcentral lists this ribosomal RNA (178 nucleotides) under uncultured bacterium. RNAcentral describes it as "partial 16S ribosomal RNA". It matches the Rfam family "Bacterial small subunit ribosomal RNA", at positions 355 to 526 of the family's 1533-position model. The record is from RNAcentral.
UGGGGAAUAUUGGACAAUGGGCGAAAGCCUGAUCCAGCAAUGCCGCGUGAGUGAUGAAGGCCUUCGGGUUGUAAAGCUCUUUUGUCGGGGAAGAAAAGGCUAUGGUUAAUAGCCAGGAUGUUGACRGUUCCUGAAGAAUAAGCACCGGCUAACUACAUGCCAGCAGCCGCGGUAAUAA